GUGCUAGCCUCAGCAGCAUAUAUACUAAAGUUGGAAAGAUACAGAGAAGAUUAGCAUGGCUCCUGCGCAAGGGUGACAUGCAAAUUCGUGAAGGGUUCCACGUUCUU
This is a small nuclear RNA of Zalophus californianus (California sea lion), 107 nucleotides long. NCBI's taxonomy places the organism in Eukaryota, Metazoa, Chordata, Mammalia, Carnivora, Otariidae. The record is from Ensembl.